Ictidomys tridecemlineatus (thirteen-lined ground squirrel) is the source of this 1763-nucleotide long non-coding RNA. RefSeq lists it as uncharacterized. Lineage: Eukaryota; Metazoa; Chordata; Mammalia; Rodentia; Sciuridae. The record is from RefSeq and is a predicted model, not a curated record.
UGAGGGCAGAGGAGAGAGUGGGGAGGUAGGCAUGGGGUGACCAUCUGGACCUGAGAGAGCAGAGCUGCAGGCACUGUCCAAGCACUCCAAAAUGGCAGAUGGGCAUCAUGGUGCCUAAGAGGCCCUGGGAGGAGGGGGGCAGCCCAGUGUGGCAUAUGCAGGAGCUUCCCCACUCCUCCCAGCCCAGGCCUUCUCCACCCCCACCUUAUCUCCCUGGGCCUUCUAAUGUCUGAUUCUGGAAAAUCCCCCUUCAAACUCCCUUUCACUGAGGGGAGGAGUUGUGCUUGGGGAUAAGGGAGACAUGAUCUUCCUUAAAACCACCAGAGCUCCUGUACCUUCCCCUUGGGGGUCAGUGUGGUCCGUCCCACAUUCCCUUUUUAGACCCCAACCCUGGGGGCUGGUGAGGAGGAGUGCUCCAAAGUGCUAUGGAAAAGUCAGAUCCCACCACACGGUGGGGGCCAGGAACCGAGUUCCCGGGGUGCCCCAGGUUGUCAGCAGGCUUCCCUCCUGUGAACCUAUGACAAGGGCUGCUUAUGGCAGCACCCCGCUCUCCAGGUCCUAGAAAGCUGGCUUGGGGCCCUGGUCGCCCCAACCAGAGAGAGGGCGAUAGGCUGUUUGUGGAGGACAGAGCUUGAGGCAUCGCGGCCGGCCGCACGGGGCUGGCUGCAGUCUUCAGGAAAGGACUUGCGUAUCGGCGGCCAGAAGCCCAGUUCGGGGACAGCCUUCAGUUUUUGACGAGGGAUCUUCCCAGGAGUCUCCCAGCAUGGGCCCAAAACGCCACAGAUGCCACAAGCCGCAGUCCUCCGAGCGCGAGUGAGCACGGGCGUGCGCGUUUUGGGCGACAGGUUCCUCUUUGAGCCCGGGAGUUGGUAAGAAGGAUGCGGACCGCGCUGCCCUCUGGUGGACAUUCCGGGGAACUACAGCUCCAGGACGCGAGGUUGGUGGAGAACGUGGACGGGUCUUAGCCGACUGCUCCCUCUGGUCACGCAGAGAUCACAGCACGAACUGGGAAACGGAGAGGGCAAGGAUGACACAGAAAAGGCCUUGCGCCAUCCUACCAUCAUCAGGGUUGUCUUUCUGCUCCCCAUGUGUCUCUUGGGCUCUUCCCGUGGGCCCUGGUUGGCACUAUCACUCUGCCCUCCCCUCCUCUCUCAUCCUCGCUGGGAUCUGGCUUCCGAGGACUAGGAGGGGGACUGGGAAUCGGCUUAAGUGCUCCGAACCACUCAGACGUGGGCGGACACCAGGUUUUUAAAUCUUGAAAGGGCCAAGAGAGCCCUCAACUCCUCCAGAAGCCGCUGCUCUUCCUGCGGGGGACCGGGGAAAAUUGCUUGUUUAUUAUUUAUUUUUAUGCAAAUGAUCUAGACCAAACAAAGCACAGGGAACCGUGUCUGGCAAGAAGCACAUGCUCAGUAAAUAUUUGCUGAAUAAAAUUGAAGAGGAUCUGGUAGCAAAAGGUGCAUUAUCUCAAUGCCUUGGAGAGCAGAUGAGAAGCUGACAGGUGAAACUGAUUCUUCUUGGAGUGUUCCUGCCUGCCAAAAGUGGUUCAGGGGCUGGGGAUAUAGCUCAGUUGGUAGAGUGCUUGCCUCAGAUGCACAAGGCCCUGGGUUCAAUACCCAGCACCUCAAAAAAUAAAAAAAAGUGCUUCUGGAUACUGGCUCAUUCUCUGGGUUCCUCUGCUCAUUUUCAAGAGAUCUGGAUUGGAAGCUUCUCCAGCCAUGUGGAGAGCAGACCUGUGGGGCUGCCUCCAUCUACACUCACUUUUU